RNAcentral lists this ribosomal RNA (512 nucleotides) under uncultured bacterium. RNAcentral's name for it is "partial 16S ribosomal RNA". It matches the Rfam family "Bacterial small subunit ribosomal RNA", at positions 28 to 523 of the family's 1533-position model. The record is from RNAcentral.
GACGAACGCUGGCGGCGUGCCUAAUACAUGCAAGUCGAGCGAAUCAAUAGGAGCUUGCUCCUGUUGGUUAGCGGCGGACGGGUGAGUAACACGUGGGCAACCUGCCUGUAAGACUGGGAUAACAUCGGGAAACCGAUGCUAAUACCGGAUAAUUCAUUCCCUCUCCUGAGGGAAUGUUGAAAGUCGGUUUCGGCUGACACUUACAGUUGGGACCGCGGCGCAUUAGUUCGUUGGUAAGGUAACGGCUCACCAAGGCGACGAUGCGUAGCCGACCUGAGAGGGUGAACGGCCACACUGGGACUGGGACACGGCCCAGACUCCUACGGGAGGCAGCAGUAGGGAAUCUUCCACAAUGGACGAAAGUCUGAUGGAGCAACUCCGCGUGAGCGAUGAAGGCCUUCGGGUCGUAAAGCUCUGUUGUUAGGGAAGAACAUGUACCGGAGUAACUGCCGGUACCUUGACGGUACCUAACCAGAAAGCCACGGCUAACUACGUGCCAGCCGCCGCGGUAA